This 367-nucleotide long non-coding RNA is filed under the name Ananas comosus (pineapple). RNAcentral's name for it is "long non-coding RNA (ACOM_LNC000144)". Lineage: Eukaryota; Viridiplantae; Streptophyta; Magnoliopsida; Poales; Bromeliaceae. The record is from RNAcentral.
UAAAACCUAAUAUGUGAAUUUGGGACCAUUUGAUCACUAGAUUAUAAAUAAUGUUAUAAAAUUAUGAAAUACUACUUUUAAAAAGUUCAAGCAGCUUAGAUUGUAUUUAACAGAGUUCAUCAUCAAUUCAGAUAUCUUAAAGUUGAAAACAAUAUAAAGUAAAUAUAUGUUUUUUUUCACUUCUGGGAUGUACAAGUAAAAUUUUCAGGCGCUGCUCACAUCAAUUAUUUAUUGUACGAAUACUUACUAUGCCUUGGUGGGUCCACCUAAGACGACUAUGUUUACAUCUAACAAUGUCUCACUUGACCAAAAACUCUAUAUUUUUUUGUUGGAAUCGCUACGUGUCAUGUACAAAAAUGCCAUUAAU